GGGUGUUGCCGCUUUGCUGUGGCUCAUCUUAAAUGUGCUAGUGCAACUCAUGGUUGGAUAUAGUACAGCGUGAUAAGUAUCUUCGCUGGCACCUCAUGAAGAGGGUGUCCGAUUGGGAGCUCUGUGCUUCAAACUGUCCUGUCUGGGACAAUCUCUGACAACUUGGCCUCAAAUCGAGUAGGACUACCCGCUGAACUUAA
This 200-nucleotide unclassified non-coding RNA is filed under the name soil metagenome. Its description in RNAcentral is "partial contains internal transcribed spacer 2 and large subunit ribosomal RNA". The record is from RNAcentral.